UCCAUUUUUUAAAAAAACUGGAAUCCUGUGUUGGAAUGCACACAUGAGGUUUGCUGUCAGUAGGAUCUGAUGGUGCUCCUUAGAUCAUCUGUAGGGCUGUCCUCUGCCAGCCCAGCCGCCAGGCACGGUUCCUGCCCCACUCGCCCUGCACGCAUGCUGGAGCCUAGAGUUUACGGAGCAAGGGUCUUAAACUGUUGAUCUCUCCAGCAGCGCCCUCAGCCACUAUUUCCCCACACGAGUGUCAGUGUUCAGGGGCUUCCUGACAAAUUACCACACACUGGGGGGCUUCGAACUACAGAAGUUUGUGCUGUCACUGUUCGGGAGCCCAGAAGUCUACAGUGGAGGCGUCUGCUGGGCCGGUUCCUCUGGAGGCUCCAAGGGAGAAUCUGUCACCUGCCCUCCCAGCCACUCCGGCGUCCUGGCUUGUGGAUGCCUCACUGGGGUCUCUGACUCAUCUUUGUGGCUUCUUCUGUGUGGGUCUGUCUUCAGAUGUCCUCUCUGUCCCCUUGUAAGGACACUUGCGGUGGCUUCAGGGCCCCCUACUCCAGAAUGACCUCAACUUAAUGACCCUGAUGACAUCUGCCAAGACCCUGCUUCCAAAUAAGGCCACGUCUCCAGGUAGGGGGGCUAGGAUUUAAACAUAUCUUUGGGGGACACCACUCACCCCACCUUGAGAUGUUUCCCCGGUCUGGCAGCCGCUGUCCCUGGGCCUCUCACAGUCUGCAGCAAGGGCCACAGGCCAGGGCACGAGCGCCUGGGUCACCCAGUGGCCGUCGGGACAGCAGCUAACACUGAUCACGGCACCACAUUGCGGAUGUGAGAGCCUGUGUACCGUCCCCAAGAGGGGCUUUAAGUAGAACCCAGAGCUGGACAGUGAAACAGGUUUUAUUCAGGAAUAUUGCAGGAGGGGAAAGAGUGCUCAGGACAGAGCAAGCAGGGGCAGGUGGAUCCGGAUUUAUAGCCAAGGAGCAGGUCUGGGGUUGAGGCAGUAACUGCUAGAGGAAACACCAGAGCAGGGUAGUCCUGGCUAACUGGCUUGACGGGAUCUCAGGCAGGAUCAGGCCAGGCCAUCAGACGUCACAAGGGGCGGGGGUGGGGGGGUGGGGGGGAUGGAGGGGCGAGGCAUUUGCUAGCUGAGCAGGGUGGGGGAUUCUCCCUGAACUAACUUAGCAGGUUUCUCGCUGGACAACACGUCUGCUACAGGAGAGGGUCUGUCGGGUGCUGGUCAUUUUCCUCCAGGAAGGUGUGAGGACAAAGGGAUGAGCGAAGGCGGGUCGUCUGACGUCCGGUCGCGUCCACGUGGGAACCGCGUCCCCGCCUGCUGACCUCGCCGGCGCUGUCCCUGCUUUGCUCCCGGGGAGGCCGGUCCCAGCCUCUGCCCCCUGGCCCAGGAGGAGGUCCGGGCAGCCCCUCGUCCUGCUGUGCCCUGGGGUGGAGAGGCCACCGAGGCUGUGCCCGUCCGGUCCCCCCACCCACCUUGCCGCUGCCCGGAGCCGCAGACCCCGGGGUUCCUGCCGCCUCGCACUCACUCUACCCCCUGCCCUGGCCCCAGCGUUGGGGCUGCCCAGGCCAGUGUGGACGCUCAGAACCGCCGUUGGAUGCACGAAGUGUCAGUGGCGCUAUGACCCUCCCUUCAUUCUCGGCGGGUUUGGGAGCCCCGCUUCUACCCCGUCCCCUCCUCUGAGGUCACCUACCAGGAGCCAGCCUUGCUCUGUCCCCGGAAGACAGCCUCCUACGGGCUUCGUCCUCUGUCCCCGCCGGCCUGGACUCUGCG
Molecule: long non-coding RNA, 1774 nt
Organism: Leopardus geoffroyi (Geoffroy's cat)
Lineage: Eukaryota; Metazoa; Chordata; Mammalia; Carnivora; Felidae
Exons: 3
Source: RefSeq, a predicted model, not a curated record